GCCAGGCAUGGUGGCGUGUGCCUGUAGUCCCAGCUACUCAGGAGGCUGAGGUGAGAGGAUCUCUGGAGCCCAGGAGUUCUGGGCUGUAUGUAGUGCACUAUGCCGAUCAGGUAUCCACACUAAGUUCAGCAUCAAUAUGGUGAUCUCCCGGGAGCGGGGGACCACCAGGUUGCCUAAGGAGGGGUGAACCGGCCCAGGUCGGAAACGGAGCAGGUCAAAACUCCUGUGCGGAUCGGUAGUGGGAUUGCACCUGUGAAUAGCCACUGCACUCCAGCCUGGGCAACAUAGCGAGACCCCGUCUCU
This 303-nucleotide signal recognition particle RNA is filed under the name Saimiri boliviensis boliviensis (Bolivian squirrel monkey). Its description in RNAcentral is "Metazoan signal recognition particle RNA (ENSSBOG00000013604.1)". It matches the Rfam family "Metazoan signal recognition particle RNA". From Rfam's summary of the family: The signal recognition particle (SRP) is a universally conserved ribonucleoprotein. It is involved in the co-translational targeting of proteins to membranes. The record is from RNAcentral. Lineage: Eukaryota; Metazoa; Chordata; Mammalia; Primates; Cebidae.